Molecule: ribosomal RNA, 386 nt
Filed under: uncultured bacterium
Lineage: Bacteria
Description: bacterial SSU rRNA
Rfam family: Bacterial small subunit ribosomal RNA
Source: RNAcentral
AUUGAACGCUGGCGGCAUGCCUUACACAUGCAAGUCGAACGGCAGCACGGGAGCAAUCCCGGUGGCGAGUGGCGAACGGGUGAGUAAUACAUCGGAACGUGCCCAAUAGUGGGGGAUAGCCCGGCGAAAGCCGGAUUAAUACCGCAUACGACCUACGGGUGAAAGCGGGGGAUCGCAAGACCUCGCGCUACUGGAGCGGCCGAUGUCGGAUUAGCUAGUUGGUGGGGUAAAGGCCACCAAGGCUACGAUCCGUAGCUGGUCUGAGAGGACGACCAGCCACACUGGGACUGAGACACGGCCCAGACUCCUACGGGAGGCAACAGUGGGGAAUUUUGGACAAUGGGCGCAAGCCUGAUCCAGCCAUGCCGCGUGCGGGAAGAAGGCCU